This 506-nucleotide ribosomal RNA is filed under the name uncultured bacterium. RNAcentral's name for it is "partial 16S ribosomal RNA". It matches the Rfam family "Bacterial small subunit ribosomal RNA", at positions 29 to 523 of the family's 1533-position model. The record is from RNAcentral.
AGUGAACGCUGGCGGUAGGCCUAACACAUGCAAGUCGAACGGCAGCACAGGAGAGCUUGCUCUCUGGGUGGCGAGUGGCGGACGGGUGGGGAAUACAUCGGAAUCUACUCUGUCGUGGGGGAUAACGUAGGGAAAAUUACGCUAAUACCGCAUACGACCUACGGGUGAAAGCAGGGGACCUUCGGGCCUUGCGCGAUUGAAUGAGCCGAUGUCGGAUUAGCUAGUUGGCGGGGUAAAGGCCCACCAAGGCGACGAUCCGUAGCUGGUCUGAGAGGAUGAUCAGCCACACUGGAACUGAGACACGGUCCAGACGCCUACGGGAGGCAGCAGUGGGGAAUAUUGGACAAUGGGCGCAAGCCUGAUCCAGCCAUACCGCGUGGGUGAAGAAGGCCUUCGGGUUGUAAAGCCCUUUUGUUGGGAAAGAAAUCCAGCUGGCUAAUACCCGGUUGGGAUGACGGUACCCAAAGAAUAAGCACCGGCUAACUUCGUGCCAGCCGCCGCCGUAA